AGAGUUUGAUCAUGGCUCAGAACGAACGCUGGCGGCAGGCUUAACACAUGCAAGUCGAGCGCAUCCUUCGGGGUGAGUGGCAGACGGGUGAGUAACGCGUGGGAACGUGCCCUUCAGUUCGGAAUAACCCAGGGAAACUUGGGCUAAUACCGGAUACGUGCGAGAGCAGAAAGAUUUAUCGCUGAAGGAUCGGCCCGCGUCUGAUUAGCUAGUUGGUGGGGUAAUGGCCCACCAAGGCGACGAUCAGUAGCUGGUCUGAGAGGAUGAUCAGCCACAUUGGGACUGAGACACGGCCCAAACUCCUACGGGAGGCAGCAGUGGGGAAUAUUGGACAAUGGGCGCAAGCCUGAUCCAGCCAUGCCGCGUGAGUGAUGAAGGCCUUAGGGUUGUAAAGCUCUUUCAGUGGGGACGAUAAUGACGGUACCCGCAGAAGAAGCCCCGGCUAACUUCGUGCCAGCAGCGGCGGUAAUAC
This 472-nucleotide ribosomal RNA is filed under the name uncultured bacterium. Its description in RNAcentral is "bacterial SSU rRNA". It matches the Rfam family "Bacterial small subunit ribosomal RNA", at positions 8 to 526 of the family's 1533-position model. The record is from RNAcentral.